RNAcentral lists this ribosomal RNA (861 nucleotides) under Triticum aestivum (bread wheat). RNAcentral's name for it is "partial small subunit ribosomal RNA". Lineage: Eukaryota; Viridiplantae; Streptophyta; Magnoliopsida; Poales; Poaceae. The record is from RNAcentral.
AUGGCCAAGCCUCACGCCGGCUUCAACACCCCGCGCCCCUCCUCCGUCCGCUCCGCCGCCGCCGCCGCCGCUCGCACCACCGCGGGUUCCUCGUCGACGGACACGACUCCCCUCGCCCCCACCUCCAUCCCCCGCGCCGACCUCUCCUCCUCCGGCGCCAAGGCCGGUGUCACCUCCGCCAUCCGCACCCCCGUGGGCUCCUCGUCAUCCACAGAUCUCUCCGGGCCCUUCACCCGCAGCUCCGUGGGCUCCUCGUCAUCCUCGGAUCUCUCCGCGCCCACCACCCGCGACAUCGCCUCCAUCGCCAAGGAGGUGGGCAAGCGCCUGGACUACGAGGACGACUCCCCCUUCCCCACCGCCGCCUCCCUGCAGCAGCCGAUGCUCGCGCCCGAGGGCCUUGCCGACCUCGCGCCGCUGCUCGAGCUUCCCGACCCCAACAACGCCUCCUCCAACACCGUCGUCUACGCUUCUGACGCUGACGCGAAACACGCGAUGACCGCCUCCGUCGACUCCACCGUCACCGAGGUUGCAGCGCCUGCCGACUCCACCGCCGACGCCGAUGGCCCCCUGCUCACGGAGAUGGAGGUCGCCCUCGACGAACUGAGCAGCGCCCGCGGCCUCAGCCCGCGCUCAAAGCGCCUCCUCCUCGCGCUCGUUGAGGUCGCCGACGCGGAGCUCAAUGCCAACCCGACUGCCGCUGUCCUCCACAUUCGCCGCGCUGCCUUCUGGAGGAAGGUGCGGGUCGGGAUCCUCGCCGCGACGGUCUUUUCUGUCGCCGUGAUCGACGCCGCGCUGGCCUUCGCGCUCUACGGAGCCCGCCGUGGCAACGGCCGGUACCACCACGUGCUGCCCCCUACCUGA